GGUCCCAUCGUCUAGUUGGGCCUAGGACACCGGCCUGUCACGCCGGCAACAUGGGUUCGAAUCCCAUUGGGACCGCCA
RNAcentral lists this transfer RNA (78 nucleotides) under Methanobacteriota archaeon. RNAcentral's name for it is "Euryarchaeota archaeon tRNA-Asp". It matches the Rfam family "tRNA". Rfam says of the family: Transfer RNA (tRNA) molecules are approximately 80 nucleotides in length. Their secondary structure includes four short double-helical elements and three loops (D, anti-codon, and T loops). Lineage: Archaea; Methanobacteriati; Methanobacteriota. The record is from RNAcentral.